GUGCCCCGGUGGCCGAAUGGGUAAUGCGGCCACCUGGUAGCGCCUUGGCGUGGGGACCCAAGGCGCGUGGGUUCGAAACCCGCAGGGGACAACAUUACAUCCGGAGCCAACUUCUCAGCUCCUAAAAUAAUGGGAUGUGAACCUGCCAAGUAGGUACCUUCGGGCGGACCUACUACUUGAUUUAGCUGAUUUUUCCUGGGCUGGGAACCUGUAUUGCAUGUACCAAAUCCUGUCUUUCAUUAAUUUUCCUAUGUUCCUGUUAUAUUCUUGGCGUCGUUCAACACUAAGCAUUCCUCCUGUAUAACCAACUCUUGCCUGUAUUUAACAUCACACAAGGACUCGUCAUAAGCACUGCUUGCAUACGAGUAUAACGGAAGAAUAAUAAUAAUAAUAAUAAUCCACUGACU
Molecule: small RNA, 407 nt
Filed under: Histoplasma capsulatum var. duboisii H88
Lineage: Eukaryota; Fungi; Ascomycota; Eurotiomycetes; Onygenales; Ajellomycetaceae
Description: Histoplasma capsulatum H88 hypothetical RNA
Source: RNAcentral